This 443-nucleotide ribosomal RNA is filed under the name uncultured Bacteroides sp. Its description in RNAcentral is "bacterial SSU rRNA". It matches the Rfam family "Bacterial small subunit ribosomal RNA", at positions 355 to 794 of the family's 1533-position model. The record is from RNAcentral. Lineage: Bacteria; Pseudomonadati; Bacteroidota; Bacteroidia; Bacteroidales; Bacteroidaceae.
UGAGGAAUAUUGGUCAAUGGGCGCUAGCCUGAACCAGCCAAGUAGCGUGAAGGAUGAAGGCUCUAUGGGUCGUAAACUUCUUUUAUAUAAGAAUAAAGUGCAGUAUGUAUACUGUUUUGUAUGUAUUAUAUGAAUAAGGAUCGGCUAACUCCGUGCCAGCAGCCGCGGUAAUACGGAGGAUCCGAGCGUUAUCCGGAUUUAUUGGGUUUAAAGGGAGCGUAGGUGGACUGGUAAGUCAGUUGUGAAAGUUUGCGGCUCAACCGUAAAAUUGCAGUUGAUACUGUCAGUCUUGAGUACAGUAGAGGUGGGCGGAAUUCGUGGUGUAGCGGUGAAAUGCUUAGAUAUCACGAAGAACUCCGAUUGCGAAGGCAGCUCACUGGACUGCAACUGACACUGAUGCUCGAAAGUGUGGGUAUCAAACAGGGAUUAGAUACCCUGGUAGU